UACGUAGGGAGCAAGCGUUGUCCGGAAUUACUGGGCGUAAAGCGUGCGCAGGCGGUGAUGUAAGACAGGUGUGAAAUCCCCGGGCUUAACCUGGGAACUGCAUUUGUGACUGCAUCGCUGGAGUACGGCAGAGGGGGAUGGAAUUCCGCGUGUAGCAGUGAAAUGCGUAGAUAUGCGGAGGAACACCGAUGGCGAAGGCAAUCCCCUGGGCCUGUACUGACGCUCAUGCACGAAAGCGUGGGGAGCAAACAGG
This 253-nucleotide ribosomal RNA is filed under the name uncultured bacterium. RNAcentral describes it as "partial 16S ribosomal RNA". It matches the Rfam family "Bacterial small subunit ribosomal RNA", at positions 524 to 776 of the family's 1533-position model. The record is from RNAcentral.